UGAGGAACAUGACCUUCGGCGGGGGAUAGCCGGCCCAACGGCCGGGUAAUACCGCGUACGACCACAUGGGGACAUCCCUGAGUGGUGAAAGCAGCAAUGCGCCGAUGGAGUGCCUCGCGGCCUAUCAGCUAGUUGGUGAGGUAACGGCUCACCAAGGCGACGACGGGUAGCCGGUCUGAGAGGAUGGCCAGCCACAUUGGGACUGAGACACGGCCCAGACUCCUAGGAGG
This 230-nucleotide ribosomal RNA is filed under the name uncultured bacterium. RNAcentral's name for it is "partial 16S ribosomal RNA". It matches the Rfam family "Bacterial small subunit ribosomal RNA", at positions 118 to 348 of the family's 1533-position model. The record is from RNAcentral.